GGCGAACGGGUGAGUAACACGUGAGUGACCUGCCCUUGACUUUGGGAUAACUUCAGGAAACUGGGGCUAAUACCGGAUAGGAGCUCCUGCUGCAUGGUGGGGGUUGGAAAGUUUCGGCGGUUGGGGAUGGACUCGCGGCUUAUCAGCUUGUUGGUGGGGUAGUGGCUUACCAAGGCUUUGACGGGUAGCCGGCCUGAGAGGGUGACCGGCCACAUUGGGACUGAGAUACGGCCCAG
RNAcentral lists this ribosomal RNA (236 nucleotides) under uncultured Actinomycetales bacterium. RNAcentral's name for it is "partial 16S ribosomal RNA". It matches the Rfam family "Bacterial small subunit ribosomal RNA", at positions 97 to 334 of the family's 1533-position model. The record is from RNAcentral. Lineage: Bacteria; Bacillati; Actinomycetota; Actinomycetes; Actinomycetales.